CGCCCACACAAAAGUUGGUUUGUCACUUACAACAGAUGAGUGGUAAGGUAUUUCUGGAGAAUGAUCAUGCAUUACCUGUGGAGGAUGUAGGUAACAUCAGAUUGAGGAUGUUUGAUGGGAUUGUUAGAACUAUGGAGUGUCGGCAUGUUCCAAGACUGAAGAGGAAUCUGAUUUCUCUUGAGACACUAGACUCUCAUGGAUACAAAUACCAUGCAGAGAAUG
This 222-nucleotide long non-coding RNA is filed under the name Elaeis guineensis (African oil palm). RNAcentral's name for it is "long non-coding RNA (EGUI_LNC005741)". Lineage: Eukaryota; Viridiplantae; Streptophyta; Magnoliopsida; Arecales; Arecaceae. The record is from RNAcentral.